CCAAAUGCGUCCGACCAUUGCUUUUUGGACACGUUUCGUUCCUUGGGGCAAGCGGCAUGUGGUGGACAAAAUAUUUUAGUAUCCGAUGACGUGGCUCCUCGUCAGUUAAUAUUAUCCGAGUCUAUCCACUUGUGCGUCCAUCCCUGUCCAACGGCCGCCAGCUGUUUUCACUAAUCCGAUGUGCGUUCCCAAGUUUAAAUAUCCAAUCACGCUCUUCUUGGCGCGUGAUCACCGCCUACAUUUUUUUAUUUAUAAUAUUUAUCAAUUUUUUUAGGACAAGACUAAUCUUAGACCCCCUUCCAAACGUAGGAAAGAGAAUGGAGAAAACCAUUCACAGGUUUAUUUUGAAAAUUGAAAAAAUUAUUGUUAUUGUUUUGAAAGAAAUGGAACCACCAUACAAAAAAAUUAAAUAUCACAAUCUUGGGAUAUAGUUCAUCCCAUUAGCAUCAUUCUUCUAAUUAAUUAAAUGAAUCGUUAUACAAAGAGUCAU
RNAcentral lists this long non-coding RNA (490 nucleotides) under Actinidia chinensis (golden kiwifruit). RNAcentral's name for it is "long non-coding RNA (ACHI_LNC003617)". The record is from RNAcentral. Lineage: Eukaryota; Viridiplantae; Streptophyta; Magnoliopsida; Ericales; Actinidiaceae.